GGCUACUUCAUCGCCUGGACCAAGAGAGAAAGAGAUUGUGGAUCUUUUCAGGAAAGUCCAAGCUCAGCUCCGAGCUCGAGCUGCUGCUAAGAAAGAAGAGAAGAAAACUGAAGAAGCUUCUAAAGGACAAGGGGGAAAAGAGAGCGAGACAGUAGACUCUCUACUUAAGUUACUGAGAAAGCACUCAGGAGAACAAAGCAAGAAGAAAGUUAGCAAUUUUACUUCUGAGAAGCAGCUACAGGAAGAUGAUGAUGCUGCAGAAAGACAAGAUCACAGUUCCAAUCAUUUCGAUUCGCGAAAUAAAGAUCGCAAUGCAACUCCCUUUACCAGGCCAGCGUCGAGUUUCAGACGCAACUCGCCUGUACCGAGACAUAAAUCUCCGUCAAGUUAUUCUGGUGAGGCCAUGUUUGACGAGGCAUCAAGUUACAGCGUGACUUGGACUCAGAAAAAGGAUCAAGUAGAGUCGCGUGAUGAACCUGAAUAUGAGCCUGAGUAUGAACCUGAAGAAUCUGAACCAAGACUCACCCUUUUUGGACCUGAAGAAUCUGAAGAACCUGAAGAAUCUGAACCAAGACUCACCCUUUUCGAAUCAGAGCCAAAGCUGAAACCAGAGUCAUUUUUUCUAGAGGAAGAUGAAUUAUCAGAUGAUGAUGAUGAUGAUGAUGAGCCUAUCAAUGCCGAGGAAGAAACUGCGAAAGACGAGGAUUUGAGUGCACUGAAGUUGAUAGAACUUAGAGCCAUAGCAAAAUCAAGGGGUCUUAAAGGGAUUUCAAAGAUGAAGAAAGCUGACCUUGUGAAUUUGCUGGCAAAUAAAGCCUGAUGAUCGGAAUGAACAUGAACAUUGCUUUAGUUUUUUUUGAUACAGCCGAUGAAUCUCAAGUAUUUGCUUCAUUAAUAAUCUUGAAUCUUGAUGCAUUCUACUAAUUUAGUUGAUGAGUUUCCCUUUUGCUCUUAGCAGCAAUGUUGAAAUGGCUUUCUUUCUUUUCAUUGGUUCUUAAUGAAUUUGAAGCCACUGUCCUCACUCUUCAUUUAGUAUGCUAAUUUAUCUAAGCAUAAUCAACUUGAUUAGCGGUAGUUUAAAAUCAGAGUUGAAA
Molecule: long non-coding RNA, 1094 nt
Filed under: Eutrema salsugineum
Lineage: Eukaryota; Viridiplantae; Streptophyta; Magnoliopsida; Brassicales; Brassicaceae
Description: long non-coding RNA (ESAL_LNC001940)
Source: RNAcentral